UGCCCGAGCUUGCCGCGCGCCGCCCCAGUCCACGCCGCGCCCGCCCCGUCCCAUCUCGUUCCCGCCGGGCGCCACAGUUCCCGGGUCAGCGUCCCCUCGGCUCCAGCCGGGAGGUGCAGAGGGCAGAGCCCGAGGGUGGGCUAGUGCCUGGCUCGGGAGACCCGGAGAGUCGCGGCAAGCGACGCCGAGCCUCGCCCCCGGCCGGCUCCCGGACGCCCUGGGCGCGGGGCGCUAAGGGCGCGGGGCGCGGGGCAGCGGGCGCGGGGCGGCGCCGGCCCCGGGCGGCUCUCCCACUAGGGGUAGCUGUUGCUGAACGCGGGAGCGCUCCCCUCUCGGUGCUUGCCUCGCCCGGCGCAGCCCUGGCCGCCGGGCGCACCCGUCCCGUUCGUCCCCGGACGUUGCUCUCUGCCCCGGGAACGUCGAGACUGGAGCGCCCGAACUGAGCCACCUUCGCGAACCCGGAGCGCGGCGGCCCGACUCACCGCGGAGGCGCCCGGACGCGUAAAGUGCGUACUUUCAACUAGGAACGUGUGCAGAGGCUUUUUAGGGGUGCGGGGUAACUCCCAACAACGUGGGGUUCUGGCAGGCCCCGCCGCGGCGGCGGAGACCUCCUAAUCUGUCUCUGCGCGCAGCGCACUGCUGGUGACUUUGGGUUCAGGGGCGGCGGGGCGGGGAGGUACCUUGACCUGGGGUCCCCGAGACUCUGAUCAAGUUCCGCUUCGCUACAUCUCACAGUGACCCCCCUCCCCAGGGCAGGGUUUCAACCCCAAAGCUCCCGGGAGCCGCACGGCCUAGAACACCCCAGUAAUCGCAGGGGCUUUUCUGGGUGACGGGACCCCAGCCGGGUACCGCAGCUCCAGCCGCUCGUGUCCCGUGCGCUGCCCUCCCAGCAGAGACCAGCUGCCUAACUUUUCCGCCGGAGACCGCUCUGGCGUCCCGGGCGGGCGGGUGGGCGCCGGCAGAUCGCUUUCCACUAGCCAAGGAACUUGUCGGGAGAAGUCGACCGUCCGCAGGGCAAGUGGCCCAGAGGGAGGGGGCACAGGUAGGCGCCCGCCCUCGCCACUGCGUUUCAGCGGUCUCUGCCAGGGGUUCCUUUGGCGGGACCUGUGGCUGCAGCCGCUGGAGCCCUGAGUGUACCUUGCUUGGAGAACAGAGUAGCUUGUGAAUGGGGCUUUCCUUUUCCCUCUGGGUCAGAGGAUUUCUCUGCUCUGUGGGACGGGAUGUACACCCAACACUUCCCACCUGAGGGAAGUGGACUCCUACUGUUCCUAGCAGCCAUGUUAGGGUCUUUCAAGUGGACUAGGGAACUUUCCCUGAACAUACCUGACUGGGGGUCCCACUCAUAUGGUUCUAUCCCGAAGCAGGGCUUCUCUGAGUUUGCAGACCUCCACCCCCUUCUCUUUUGGACUGGGGUGAUAGAAAAGAGACAUGCUGAAGAGUCUGAGAGGCAGAUUGGGGGCUUCUGAGACCCUGUCUUGGGUAAGGCAAGAGAUAAUUCUCCUCAGCCCAAGAUUCCCUCAUCUCUGGGAGAUACCAUUCUAGGGCGGGGGUCCUGUUCCUUCACUCAAGGACUUGGGACAGGGAUAUGAGGCAGGUCCUCCCCUUCCCACAUUCAGUUUCUGAAAAGGCCACCUGGGAUAUGUUCAUAUGUGUCUGGAUGCACAUGCCAUGUGGCAGUCAUAGUCUGGGACAGACAUAAGUCCAGCCCUGCUGGUCCUGCCCUGUGGGACCAGUCACAUCUGAUCAUCACUCCUUCCUGAUGUGGGACAUCUGAGAAAGAAGCUGUCAGCCUCGCUGGGCAGCUGCUGGUGUGUGGGGGACAGGCUAUACCCCACACCUCAGGACUCCAGAGCACUGGAUGAAGUACCCAUUGACUCCUAUGGCCUCCUGUACAGGCUGUCAGGAGACUCCAUGGAGCUUGGUGGGUAGUGCCGUGGUUUACACUCUCCCAGCAGGGGUACCUCCUAGGCGCUCAGAAAAGAUAGUUCAGCUCCUACACUUAGAAGAGUGCUGGAGAACGACAGUCCAGUGACCUGGGGGAGCCCAGUCUUCCUGCCUGGACUGUCCUCAAAGGAGCACAUGCCCUCUACCUGGCCUGUUCUUCCUCAGUGGCCAGCAGCCUACUACGAAGCAGAUGAAGUUCUGUGUCUGCCUGGCAGACUUGCCCCUCCCAGGCUGGCUCAGCUGGGAUCCUCUGGAGUGACUGCUGAGAGGUGCCCAAUAAAGCUUUGCACCAUGA
Molecule: long non-coding RNA, 2239 nt
Organism: Peromyscus californicus insignis
Lineage: Eukaryota; Metazoa; Chordata; Mammalia; Rodentia; Cricetidae
Exons: 3
Source: RefSeq, a predicted model, not a curated record